This 254-nucleotide ribosomal RNA is filed under the name uncultured bacterium. RNAcentral describes it as "partial 16S ribosomal RNA". It matches the Rfam family "Bacterial small subunit ribosomal RNA", at positions 524 to 776 of the family's 1533-position model. The record is from RNAcentral.
UACGGAGGGGGCUAGCGUUGUUCGGAAUUACUGGGCGUAAAGCGCACGUAGGCGGCUUUGCAAGUUAGAGGUGAAAGCCCGGGGCUCAACUCCGGAAUUGCCUUUAAAAACUGCAUCGCUAGAAUUGUGGAGAGGUAAGUGGAAUUCCGAGUGUAGAGGUGAAAUUCGUAGAUAUUCGGAAGAACACCAGUGGCGAAGGCGACUUACUGGACACAUAUUGACGCUGAGGUGCGAAAGCGUGGGGAGCAAACAGG